This 416-nucleotide ribosomal RNA is filed under the name uncultured Pseudomonadota bacterium. RNAcentral describes it as "bacterial SSU rRNA". It matches the Rfam family "Bacterial small subunit ribosomal RNA", at positions 35 to 438 of the family's 1533-position model. Lineage: Bacteria; Pseudomonadati; Pseudomonadota. The record is from RNAcentral.
GUUGGCGGCAGGCUUAACACAUGCAAGUCGAACGAGAAAGCACCUUCGGGUGUGAGUAAAGUGGCGGACGGGUGAGUAACGCGUAGGAAUCUACCCAGUAGCGGGGGAUAACGCCGGGAAACCGGGGCUAAUACCGCAUACGCUCCUUCUCUUGGUUGAGAAGGAGGAAAGAGGGCCUCUAUUUAUAAGCUCUCACUAUUGGAGGAGCCUGCGUUAGAUUAGCUAGUUGGUAGGGUAAAGGCCUACCAAGGCGACGAUCUAUAGCUGGUCUGAGAGGACGAUCAGCCACACUGGAACUGAGACACGGUCCAGACUCCUACGGGAGGCAGCAGUGGGGAAUCUUGGGCAAUGGGCGCAAGCCUGACCCAGCCAUGCCGCGUGUGUGAAGAAGGCCUUCGGGUUGUAAAGCACUUUCA